CGGACUGUAGGCUGCAACUCGCCACACGAAGUUGGAAUUGCUAGUAAUCGUGGAUCAGCAUGCCACGGUGAAUACGUUCCCGGGUCUUGUACACACCGCCCGUCACACCAUGGGAGCUGGUAACACCCGAAGUCAGUAGUCUAACCGCAAGGAGGACGCUGCCGAAGGUGGGAUUAGCGACUGGGGUGAAGUCGUAACAAGGUAGC
RNAcentral lists this ribosomal RNA (206 nucleotides) under uncultured bacterium. RNAcentral describes it as "partial 16S ribosomal RNA". It matches the Rfam family "Bacterial small subunit ribosomal RNA", at positions 1294 to 1500 of the family's 1533-position model. The record is from RNAcentral.